Non-coding RNA from Ricinus communis (castor bean), 82 nucleotides. Lineage: Eukaryota; Viridiplantae; Streptophyta; Magnoliopsida; Malpighiales; Euphorbiaceae. The record is from Rfam.
GAGAGGAUGAUGAAAUAAAUCAGACGGAUUCCCACUGAUUUCACUAAAUAUGAUUUUACUCAACCAGCUACUUCUGACUCUC